Molecule: long non-coding RNA, 1185 nt
Organism: Cornus florida
Lineage: Eukaryota; Viridiplantae; Streptophyta; Magnoliopsida; Cornales; Cornaceae
Exons: 2
Source: RefSeq, a predicted model, not a curated record
AAAGUUUUUCAAAUUCUUUUUAUUUUAUUUUAUUUUUUGUCAUUAAUAUGUUCUUUAUGCAAUUUGUAUGUAUAAAUUUGAUAACUAACGUCUUUGCAAUCAGUGCAGGCUUCCCUCUGUUAGCUCUGCUUUGUCUACCUUGCUCAUGAUUACCUUUGUAAGUGACUCAAAUAAGAUUCAGGUGUUGUUGUUCACAGUCUAUCUUCCACACUUUUAUUCAUGAUUACCUUCAUCUUGGGAAUAGUUUUAAUUGAUAAAGAAGCUUGUUGUUGCAGUGUUUUAUGUAUGUCUUUAUGAGAAGAUUUAUUUUUUUUCCUUACCCAAGAUUUAAUACUUUCCAACAUAAGUUCUAUGGUACUGAGAAAUCCCAUUCAGGAAUGCUUUUUAUUUAUUUAGUUUCAAUAACUAUGUUCUUGUUAAUGUUUAUUGCUACUUUCUUUUUCUAACUUUUAUAUUAGUACUUUUAUUUAAAAUUAGGUUAUGGUGUCAAUGUAUAUACAUAUAUAUUCUUUACUACUCUCUUUUUUAUCUUAUUGCACGUGAAAUAUCCUUUCUCUUAUUCUAGUUUCUUGUUUGCUUUGCAGAAAUAGUAAUUGAGUUGUUUGAAAGAGAACUAAAGGUUAGAUAUUCAAUGUGGGUAGCUCUUACAAUGAGGUCUUAGUCAAAGAUGAAAGUAAAUAAUUCAAUGUAGUUUUAUUAUUUUAUCCUUUUUUUAUGUUGAUAAUGUGCAUUGCUUGGAGGAAUUACUUUUAAUCAAGUUUAUGAUUAGGAGAAUAUUAUUUAAAUUUUAUAGUUUGACUUUCAUAGAGCCCUAUUGUUCCAUUACAGAACUUUUUCCUGUGUUUUGUUGCAACUACUGGAGUGGAGUGGCUCUUGCUAGAAUAUUUCUGUAUUCAAGGCUGCUAGAGUGGCUUCGUGCGGAAUUACUAUAUUCAAAGGCGAAGUACAAAAAGCCAUAAACAUAGUUUGAAGAAUUUUAAGAUUCUAGAAGACUAGUGAUAAGGGAACUUUGGGCGUUCCUCCAUAGAGGGAGAGUUGGGAGAGAGUUGGGAGUUUGCUUUUAUGUUUUAGUUUGGUCUUUUGUAUUAUACAAUUGGAAAUUUGGUUAUUCAAAUUUAUGUUAAUUUUGUAUUUGAACUCAGAAUUAUUAUGUAUUUCAUAAUAAAAUUUAAUGUUAUGUUUAAA